RNAcentral lists this transfer RNA (63 nucleotides) under Argulus japonicus. Its description in RNAcentral is "tRNA-Glu". Lineage: Eukaryota; Metazoa; Arthropoda; Ichthyostraca; Arguloida; Argulidae. The record is from RNAcentral.
AUUUUCAUAGUUUAAAAAAAACAAUUGCCUUUCAAGCACUAAAUAAGUUUUACUUUGAAAAUA